Non-coding RNA from Camellia sinensis, 861 nucleotides. The record is from RefSeq and is a predicted model, not a curated record. NCBI's taxonomy places the organism in Eukaryota, Viridiplantae, Streptophyta, Magnoliopsida, Ericales, Theaceae.
UUUUUGGUGGAUCUGAUGUGGAGGGAAGAGUGGACGUUUUGGGGAAAAUGGGUCGAAGAAUUCGAAUGGAAAUCAGACGAUUCGGAAAGCGGCUCCAGUGGAAAACAAGUUGGUGUGUAGUUUGGAGGAGCUUUACAAGGGUUCUCGAAAGAAUGUUAAGAUUUCGAGAAUUGUUCCUGAUGAUUCUGGUAUUAUCCAAGUCUCAAUCGCUCAAGAUGUUGCACGAAAGGCAUUUAGUGUUUUCUGCAGAUGAAGACCCUGAAUUCGACUCGGCCUACUUAGUGUCCAUUCUGUAAAACCAUGAACUAUGCGGUGGAGUAUCGUGGGGUGAAAACAAAGGAGGAAAAGGGGAUCGAGCAAAUUGAAGAACAAAGGGUUAUAGAAGCAAAAAUUAGGAUGCGGCAACAGGAACUUUAGGAUGAAGAACUGAGAAUGCUGACAAGGCAAGAAAUAAGUUCUUCAAGCAGAUCAAUGUUACCAGGAGAGGUUGGAUAUAGCACAGGGGAAGUGGACGAGGAAAUUGUUUCUUCUCAAAUACCACUAAGACAAUCUCUACGGCCUAGGCAGAACAGAGGUUUUUUGCCAGGCCGACCAAUUUAUUAGCUGGACGGCUAAUUAAUUGGCUGGCUAGCUCACUUUAACUUCUUCUAUGAUAGAAUAAAGCAGUCUUCUGAUGAUGAGUAGAACAGUUUCUAGAGAUCUCCGAGGCAUAUGAAGUUAAUGUUUUUCUUUUAAUUUGAGAGAGUUGUGAGGUUUUCAUUUGUUGUAAUAUUUUCUACCUUUCCCCCCUUAUUCAGAUAUGUAAUUAUUCAAGUGUUGUAAUAGUUUCCUGCCACGCUUCUUUUCUAUCAUGUUCUUUUA